GAAGGGACGGAAGCUAACUUGGUCAUUCAUUAGAGGGUUUUUAUGGGGUUACUCCUCCGUGUGUGUAAACGGUUCCAUUUCUCUUCAAGAUGCGGACGACUCGAGAGAGAAUAUGCCUCUCGGAUGCCGACGACUCGAAUGUGCUGCUCUGAAAUGCAGGACAGAUGCCAGGGAAGUCCAGAAGACUUACACGUCUGCAUUACUUGUGACACGACUUCCUGACUUCAAGGCAUCUGAACAGAUUCUCCACUUGGAGUUCCAUUCUGGAAUAGGAAUGUGUGCUGAAUACCUGAUUCCAGACCACGACACUGAUGCGCUUUGUGAAAAUCCAGACGUGGGGAUGAAGUUUCCUGAAGGGAUUAACACUACCUUACCUGUUUGAGUGCUGUGGUCAGUGGAAUUGCAGCGUGGACUCCAACAUCCUGUUGACUGUCCUGAAACAAGAUGGCUGCUCUAAGCUAUGCAGGUUCUUCUGUUUGUGGCUGAAGGAGCCGUGAUGCCAACUAGACUGGUCCUGAUGGUCCUGGUGGUGGUACCAGACUGGUCACUAGAAGAUGCCUGUUACUGAACUACCACAAGUUGAUGUCCUUGUGGGUCUGCAGUCUUCAGGAAGGUCCUAACUGUUCCAGCCUGGCCACUGGAGAACUGUUGCUGCACUACCUCAAGGUUUCUGCCCCCCUGGUUGAGGUCCUAGUGUCUGCCGUGUUUGGAAAGAGCUCGUUGGCUGCUGAAGUGUUGCUGUGCUGGUGGAGCGGGAAGCUCUCCUGUCCUACACUGACUAGCCCUCUUGUACUCCUGUUUGGUCAGCAAGGAAGUGAGACGUCUUGUUGGAACUGGGGAAAACCAGGCCAAGUCAUUUCAACCCAGUGACUGUUUUGAUGUAAAAAUAAAUCUACAAAUGAAUGCUUGUCCUAUUUUUCGUUCUUGGUGGUAUUAAAUCAGACUUGGUGAAUUUGGCCAUUUUGAAUGAACCAUGUGGUCUGAAAUCAAUACUGAACAAUGUGACAUUCCCUUCAUAUCAUUGUCGUUAUUCUAGGUGGUUAUAAACAUGCACAUGUUACUUUGUUCACUGGCUAUAGAAAGUUGACAGAAUUAUUUUAAGCCAUUGUGUUUUUGGGAGGAAUUUAUUGUGAGAUGCAUGUUUCGUCAUGGAGUCUAUUUUAACGAUACGGUGAGAAAAUUGUAUAGCUAAUAUAUGGAACAGGCUUGGUUUACACUGAUAUCAGAACCGCUAAAGAUGGUGGCUAAAUGAAGCGUAAAUUCCGGUAUAUUUAACGGAUGGUAUCAUGGACAUUAAUGUUCCAGUUUGUAGUCCCGAAAACCCCCCAAAUGAGUUACCUCUGGUUCUUUCAACCAUACCUACGGUGGUAUCAAUCGGGGUUUUUGACCAUGUGGCACCAUUAAUCCCAUCUGUUGGCCGUGAAGCACAGGGGUAGAGAAUUUGGGCUCACUACAAGGUACGAGCGUUUGCGCUUGAAGCCAGUUUCCCAGACACAGAUUGAGCCUUACCCGGGACUGCAUUUAUAUUAGAAUUUUGGUGAAUAACAGGAGAAAAAAGCCGUCCUGUACAGCUCAUAUUGCGUGCCGUUUAGUACUGGUCUGCGUCACACCAGUCAUAUGGCACCGAUCAUAUUUUCCUGCAAGCAUAAAUUGGUUUUCAGGAGAUUCUACAUUUUCUGAGAUCUGUUAACUUGACCAUUAUAGCAGGGACUUUUAAUUUCAGUACAAAUGCUUCAAUUGUGUGACCGUUAGCUGAUAUCAGAAAAAGGUUUACGCCUGAAUUUACCACAGAUCUUGUUUUCAGUGUUGAUGUCAAAACAUUUUCCCGAAGGAUUUGUCCAACGAACCGUGGCGGAGUUGGUGCCCAACAAGAUGCCAUUACUCACUGCUCUCUAUAGCAGCUGGGUCUGGUCUACCUAGUUAAUUGAAUGCAGCACAUUUUCCAGCGAGUGAUAGUCCCGCUUCCCAUCCGUCUCAAACCUCAUUGUGCCAUUUUUUAUGUAUUGUCUCCACCUUCUUGCCUUUUGUCCUGUCGUCUGUGGCCACUAAUGUUUGUACCAUGUUUUGUGCUUCUACCAUGUAUUGUUGCUACUAUGAUGUGUUGUGUUGCUGCCUUGCUAUGUUCUCUUAGCUCUCUCUUUAUGUACUGUAUUUAUUUUGAAUCCCAGGCUCCGUCCCCGCAGGACGACUUUUGGUAGCCAUCAUUGUAAAUAAGAAUUUGUUCUUUUGCCUAGUUAAAGGUUAAAUAAAAAAAUCUGCGCACCUUUUUUCUACAUCUAUCCUCUUCUAGUUAGUAGGAUAGAAUACCUGUAUGUCUCUAGUGGUGAACUGGGAUAGUGCAGCAGAACACCACUGGAUAGAAUACCUGUAUGUCUCUAGUGGUGAACUGGGAUAGUGCAGCAGAAUGCAACUGUCCUAUAAUCUUUGCCAUUAAGUGUUUUGGCAAAAUUUGAUCAGGAAUUAAGACUAUUAGUGUAAGCGACAAUGUAUGUUAAAAAUAAGAUUAUUGUUAUAAAAUGCCCUUUAUCACUCAGAUGGAUGGUAUUUUCUGUGGCAUUAAAAAGGUUUUAGUCUGACAUUGGACAUGAUGCCAAAUAACCUUUCACCUGACUGAUGCAGGCUUUCAUUAAAGGAAAAUUCCACCCAAAACGGUCUUUUGGUAUUUGCAAAAUGCAUCAUAUGGGGAUUUCUGUAUUUUGAAAGUUACAUAUCUUGAGAACUUGAUUAUUGACAAGCAAAACAUUUUGGGACUAUGUUACAAUGGACUAAUGAAACAAAUAACAAAAUAUGGUUUCUGGAUGGAGUUUUCCUUCAACUGGUUUCUAGAAUUCCCUGGAAAACUGUAUUUUAUGGUAUUAUUCUGUAGUGAUUAAAUUAAAACCUUUUCAAGACAUGAAGUCAAACCGUUACACACCAACACUAACCAUGGUGGGGUGACUGAAUUUAACAUAGUUAUACACCAACACUAACCAUGGUGGGGUAACUGAAUUUAAUAUACAGUUAUACACCAACACUAACCAGGGUGAGGUAACUGAAUUUAAUAUACAGUUAUACACCAACACUAAACAGGGUGGGGUAACUGAAUUUAAUAUACAGUUAUAUACCAAAACUAACCAUGGUGGGGUGACAAUUUAAUAUACAGUUAUACAACAACACUAACCAUGGUGGGGUGACUGAAUUUAAUAUACAGUUACACACCAACACUAACCAUGGUGGGGUGACUGAAUUGAACAGUUACACACCAAAACUAACCAUGGUGGGGUGACUGAAUUUAAUAUACAGUUAUACACCAACACUAACCAUGGUGGAGUGACUGAGUUUAAUAUACAGUUAUACACCAACACUAACCAUGGUGGGGUGACUGAAUUUAAUAUACAGUUACACACCAACACUAACCAUGGUGGGGUGACUGAAUUUAACAGUUACACACCAACACUAACCAUGGUGGGGUAACUGAAUUUAAUAUACAGUUAUACAACAACACUAACCAUGGUGGGGUGACUGAAUUUAGCAGUUACACACCAACAAUAACCAUGGUGGGGUGACUGAAUUUAAUAUACAUUUACACACCAACACUAACCAUGGUGGGAUUACUGAAUUUAACAGUUACACACCAACACUAACCAUGGUGGGAUUACUGAAUUUAACAGUUACACACCAACACUAACCAUGGUGCGAUUACUGAAUUUAACAGUUACACACCAACACUAACCAUGGUGGGGUGACUGAAUUUAACAGUUACACGCCAACACUAACCAUGGUGGGAUUACUGAAUUUAACAGUUACACACCAACACUAACCAUGGUGGGAUUACUGAAUUUAACAGUUACACACCAACACUAACCAUGGUGGGAUUACUGAAUUUAACAGUUACACACCAACACUAACCAUGGUGGGGUGACUGAAUUUAACAGUUACACACCAACACUAACCAUGGUGGAGUGUUCUUCCAGCUGAUCUUCUCUUGAGCUGGAGAUUGCCCAGCAUGCUCUGCUCCACUUCACCGGUGAGCGGAGCUACCACCUUUGAUAUUGAUUAACUACAAAUACUUCACGUCCUUUGUAUCAAUAUCUGCUGCAGCCGAGAGGUUUUUGGGGCUCCAAGACUUCACAGCAGAAGCACUACAAGACUUUUGUCACCAGGAAAUGUCCUGCCCUCACAGGAGGAUUCUGAGGCUGUGUUGGACCUGAUUAGAAUGAGGUUUUUACAGAAAAGCAGGUUGAUUUUGUUUAGUUCAUUUCUUUUUUGGUAGUUUGUGUGAUAUUUGAUUUAUUUUUACCCAUAUGUUAUUUUUGGGGAUCCUUAUUAUCCACCCACACAGUAGGUGGCGGAAUAGACAUUUAAUUGUUGUGGACGCCAUUAUACCAUAGAAGAAGAGAGACAGACAGACUGCGGUCGAGACACCCUCAGGCAGUGAUGCCAAGUUAGCAAUUUUGUUGCUAUAUUUAGCAAUUUUUUUUCCAAACAGCACCUAGCAACAAAUGUAGCUACUUUUAAAAAUGUAUUUGUAACUUGUGGCAACUUUUGAAAAAUGACUCAAACGCUAAAACGCACAUAUUUUCCCUCUAAAUGACACAAAACCGAUUUUCUCUGUCACAACACACGUGCCUGGCUGCAAAAGUGCAUUGUGAGUGACGUCAGCAGCAGGCCAGCAGCAAUUUCAGCAAAUUGCAAAUCAUUGUUGGCUGACUGCAGCAGCAGUAGUAUGUGUUCGACGAGAUCUUGAACAGAACUUACAACAUCAAUCAACAUGUCUCAAUCAAAAUUGUACAGCCAGAAGUACAGAAAAGAGUGGGAGUACCUGAAUUUAAAGGGUGGCUGAAGCCAGUAAUUGGGGAUGAUUGUUGGGCAUACUGUGCGUACUGCAAAUCAGAUAUGCUUGCAAAAUUGUAUGACAUCAAAAAAUAUUGUGCUACAGCAAAACAUAUAAAUAAAUCAAAACCGUACAACCCCACAACGCAGUCUACAUUACCACAGUUGGUUAAAAAAGUGGAUAACUGCAAAAGCUACUAUGGCAAUGGCCACUGCAGAGCAUUGUUCGCUGCUAGCAUGCGACCAUUUAGGUAUGGCUUGCAAAGUUGCCUUUUCAGAUUCUGUGGCAGCAACAAACUUCCAAAUGCACCGCACCAAGUGCACAGAAAUGAUUAGGGGAAUACUGGCUCCUUAUUUUCUCAAAAGAGUAACAUCAGAUGUGGGGGAUGAGAAGUUCAGUCUCCUUUUGGAUGAGUCCACUGAUGUCAGUGUCUCGAAAUACCUGGGUGUGGUGAUUCGGUAUUUCAGUGCUUAAAAAAGAACCGUUGUGUCCACAUUUCUCAGGCUGGUUGUCUGGGAGGGUGGCGAUGGCAGAUCAAUAGCAAAGGCGGUAGUUGAGUUUCUUGAGAAGUGCAACCUUAAAAAAGAGAAUCUUCACAGUAUUGGCACUAAUAAUGCGUCUGUGAUGACUGGGGUGCACAACGGGGUGCACAUGAUUUUAAAGGUAGAAUGUGCAUUGCCCAAUUUGGUACUCAUCCGUGAUGUGUGCCAUUCUUUACAAUUGGCUGUCUGUGCAGCAUCCAAAGAAACCAUCCCUAGGAGUGUUGAGUACUUAAUCAGGGAAACCUACAACUGGUUUUCCAUUUCCCCAAAACGGCGCAAGGCGUACAAAGCAGUGUAUGCCACCAUUAAUUGUGGCCAGAAACCCCUGCAGGUCACCAAAGUGUAUGCCACACGUUGGCUAUCGAUUGAGCCUGCAGUAACUCGUAUAUUGAGCCAGUGGGAAGAACUGAAACUCCACUUUGAGUUGACCAAGGCCAGUGAGCAUUGCUACAUGGUGGAUGUGCUCCACGCUAUGUACAUGGACAAGAACAACUAUGUCUACUUGACAUUCUUGAAAUCAAGUUGCAGUGAAGUAAUUUGAGGGAGAGCAAACAGAUCCUGUCAAGCUUUUGGACAAUCUGGUACACCUCUUAACAUCAAUUUGCAGCAGAGUAGUCAACCCUAUGGCAAAAAUGGAUGUCCUGAAUGAUGCCAUUGAAGGACAUCUCAGUCCAUCACCAUACCUUCGGUACCUUUUCGAGAGCACGGUGUACCAACUCAGUCUUGCGUCAGAGGACAAAAAGGUCAUUCGGUGACAGUGCAUCAACUACAUUGUUGCUCUAAGCAAGGAGCUGCAAGCAAGGCUCCCAGACAACCUUGAAGCCUUGCGAAACAACAUGGCCUUGUUCAGUGUUAAGGAAACGCUAAAGCACAAUAAAGGCACCACUGAAGUUAUUAAAGUAGCUGAGCUUCUGGUGUACCAACCACAAACAAUUGAUACAAUUGUUUCCCAAUGGAGAAACAUCCAUCUGUUUAGGUGGGACUCAACUGAAAACACAGUCGAGUUUUGGAGUGAACUCAAUAACUACACAGACUCUUCCGGGUCAAAUCCAUUUGAAGAACUGUGUAAAGCUGCACUCGCUGCCCUCUCCCUGCCACACUCAAAUGCGGAGGUUGAACGGCUGUUCAGCCAAAUGAGUGUGGUCAAGUCAAAGUUAAGAAAUAGAAUGUCACUGCACACUCUCAACUCCAUACUCCUGGUGCGGUAUGGACUGAAGCUGGCUGGUGAAACCUGUUACCAGCAUAAACUACCAAGUGAAGUUCUGCAGCAGUUUGGCACCACAGCAGCAUACAGCUUUAAGGCCACUCCAUCCUCUACUGCUGGUUCCAGCUCCGUGACAAUGCAGUUGGACAGUGAAGAGGAUUUCCUUGCCAAUCUAUGAUUCAUCAUAUUUACAGUACGUAUGCAAGGAGUGGGCUUUCUGGAACUGGCGGAGACACACAGCUGAUGGUGGCAGUGUGUACUGCAGUGGGUGCGAAAACAGUGGCAAUAUCUGAAGGAAACCAUCGAGCAGCUAGCUAGCUAGCCAAGCAGCACAACAACCUGGGGAGAGCUGGAGAGAGAUGCCUAGCACAUACAUCAUUAUUUGAGUUAAGUUGCUUAUUCAAUAAGAUAGCAUAUAUACCUUGUUAUUUGCCUGUACCUAUAAUUGUUGAUCAGUUAGGUAGCAUGUUAACUAACUACCAAUACACUGCUUAAAACUAGGAUUGUUCAGUGUAGGUUUACUAGUUAAAAAGAAAAUAAAUAAAAUGUAAUUGUUCAAUAAUGUGUAAUUGUUCAAUAAUUCAAUGUGUUGUGUUUAAAAAUGUGAUAAUAUAAAAUGUGUUGUGUUUAUAUUACUUUUACAAAUAAAAGUAUAUGAUAAUAAACAAACAAAUCUAAACUAACAAAUGUUAAAUCAUAUUUUUCGACAAGAUUAUUUUUAGAUGUUUUUCUUUAAUGUGAUAUAUAUAUAUUUUUUUCUCUUUUUUUAUUUUUAUUAACAGUAACAUGCAAAACAUAAACAUAACAGCCAGAGGGAUUCCACAAAGAAAUGAGAAAAAAAUAAAACUAAUCCACAUUAUAUCAAUUCAAAUACAGACAUAUAGCGAAUAAUUUUUUUUGACAUUUUGUUUUGUAUACGUUUCAAAGACUCAAAAUAGUUUUCCAAAUCAGAUCAAAAAAUUAAGAAAAGGGCUUUUUUCUUCAUACAUUUUGAUUUGUGUAUGAAAAAUGUUCCAAAUAAAAUAAAGAGAUUUAUGACAUAUUCACAUUCAAUUGUGGAAUCAGUGUAGUAAAAUAAUAUGUCAAACUUAGAUUUCAAUGGUUGUAUGCAAUUUGAGGCCAAGAUAUAGUUUUACAUCAGUCCAGAACACUUCACUAUAUAACAAUGACAGAAUAAGUGUUCAAUUAGAGUCUACGUAAUGACGCAGUUUUACGUUAUUAUGUAAUGACGGCAUCACGCAAUGACAUCACAACGUCAUUUAGCAACAAAUCAACUUCCUCUGGAAAUUAGUUGGCAACACUGAGCGGAAUGCGGCGAAAGCACCUACCGAUGCCGACGACUCGAAUGUGCUGCUCUGAAAUGCAGGACAGAUGCCAGGGAAGUCCAGAAGACUGACACGUCUGCAUUACUUGUGACAUGACUUCCUGACUUCAAGGCAUCUGAACAGAUUCUCCACUUGGAGUUCCAUUCUGGAAUAGGAAUGUGUGCUGAAUACCUGAUUCCAGACCACGAGACUGAUGCGCUUUGUGAAAAUCCAGACGUGGGGAUGAAGUUUCCUGAAGGGAUUAACACUACCUUACCUGUUUGAGUGCUGUGGUCAGUGGAAUUGCAGCGUGGACUCCAACAUACUGUUGACUGUCCUGAAACAAGAUGGCUGUUCUGAGCUGCUCUAAGCUAUGCAGGUUCUUCUGUUUGUGGCUGAACAAGGAGCCGUGAUGCCAACUAGACUGGUCCUGAUGGUCCUGGUGGUGGUACCAGACUGGUCACUAGAAGAUGCCUGUUACUGAACUACCACAAGUUGAUGUCCUUGUGGGUCUGCAGUCUUCAGGAAGGUCCUAACUGUUCCAGCCUGGCCACUGGAGAACUGUUGCUGCACUACCUCAAGGUUUCUGCCCCCCUGGUUGAGGUCCUAGUGUCUGCUGUGUUUGUAAAGAGCUCGUUGGCUGCUGAAGUGUUGCUGUGCUGGUGGAGCGGGAAGCUCUCCUGUCCUACACUGACAAGCCCUCUUGCACUCCUGUUUGGUCAGCAAGGAAGUGGGACGUCUCGUUGGAACUGGGGAAAACCAGGCCAAGUCAAUUCAACCCUGUGACUGUUUUGAUGUAUAAAUAAAUCUACAAAUUAA
This is a long non-coding RNA of Salvelinus fontinalis (brook trout), 8682 nucleotides long. RefSeq lists it as uncharacterized. The transcript is spliced from 29 exons. NCBI's taxonomy places the organism in Eukaryota, Metazoa, Chordata, Actinopteri, Salmoniformes, Salmonidae. The record is from RefSeq and is a predicted model, not a curated record.